CCUGUGAUAGUUCAGUUGGUAAAGUAGAGGCCUGUAGAUACCAAAAUGGCCAUCCAUAGGUUGCUGGUUCAAAUUUGGCUUGAAGGA
Molecule: non-coding RNA, 87 nt
Organism: Pangasius djambal
Lineage: Eukaryota; Metazoa; Chordata; Actinopteri; Siluriformes; Pangasiidae
Source: the annotation of a GenBank genome assembly